This 497-nucleotide ribosomal RNA is filed under the name uncultured bacterium. Its description in RNAcentral is "partial 16S ribosomal RNA". It matches the Rfam family "Bacterial small subunit ribosomal RNA", at positions 28 to 507 of the family's 1533-position model. The record is from RNAcentral.
GAUGAACGCUGGCGGCGUGCCUAAUACAUGCAAGUCGAGCGAACAGACGAGGAGCUUGCUCCUCUGACGUUAGCGGCGGACGGGUGAGUAACACGUGGAUAACCUACCUAUAAGACUGGGAUAACUUCGGGAAACCGGAGCUAAUACCGGAUAAUAUAUUGAACCGCAUGGUUCAAUAGUGAAAGACGGUUUUGCUGUCACUUAUAGAUGGAUCCGCGCCGCAUUAGCUAGUUGGUAAGGUAACGGCUUACCAAGGCGACGAUGCGUAGCCGACCUGAGAGGGUGAUCGGCCACACUGGAACUUGACCACGGUCCAGACUCCUACGGGAGGCAGCAGUAGGGAAUCUUCCGCAAUGGGCGAAAGCCUGACGGAGCAACGCCGCGUGAGUGAUGAAGGUCUUCGGAUCGUAAAACUCUGUUAUUAGGGAAGAACAAAUGUGUAAGUAACUAUGCCCGUCUUGACGGUACCUAAUCAGAAAGCCACGGCUAACUACGUG